This is a non-coding RNA of Vicugna pacos (alpaca), 1188 nucleotides long. The record is from RefSeq and is a predicted model, not a curated record. Lineage: Eukaryota; Metazoa; Chordata; Mammalia; Artiodactyla; Camelidae.
AGUCAUGGUUCUGGGAAAAAAGCCCCAGCUAAAAAUAGGCACGUAGGCCAGGGAGCAUAAUCUUGGGACUCCAGAGCUAUAAACAAAGAAGGGAAAGAGCGCCCAAGGUCUCAAGUGUCAGCCUACCCACGGACAGGGCCAGUACUAACUGGAGGCCUUAACAACGGAGCCCACUCCAGACCAAACAAGCAGACGGCUGACACUAGCAGCCUCGCACCAGGGGACAGAAACUCCUAGCCUCACGGACGGCUGCAGUUGUCAGGAAUGCAUCCAUGUUUCCUGGAAGGAGGCCCUUCGUAUCAAGUAAAUCUCCCCAGCACGUAAACUUCCCUUUGAAGAAGGCUUCUGUUUCCAUUACUGAUGUGGAAAACGCAUCUCCUCCUCAAUGGCUUUUAACGUCACUUCACUGUACUACUGGCCGAGGGAACACACCAAAGCUGGAUUCCAGGUUUCUGCCAAGAAAGACUUCUGGGCUCUGGGAGGCAGAGAAGCUAGGUACCAUACUUGUGGUAGGCCACCAGGGCCAACAUGAAGACUGAAGGAGUUAACAACUACAACUGAGUGUGAGAGGCAUCAGCAGCCAAUACUUUUUCAGGAUGACUGAUGCUUGUCAAGGAGCCUGAUGAAGGGAAAGAACACUGGGUAUAUGUGAGUGUCAAGGACCUAAGUUUAAAUCUUAGCUCCACCUGUGGGACUGUGGGCACAUCAGUUAAUCUCUAAAAUUAAGUGUCUUCAUCUGCAAAAUGGAGAUACCUAUUUUACAAGGUUUGGGGUGGGAGAUGUUUUAUACGUGGAUUAAAAAAAUAGUACAUUUAAAAGCAUGGGAGACACUUAACAUUCUUCCCACAUUAUCUUGGGGUUCCAGAAAAUACCAAGUAAGAGCUCCCAAGGUCUAAGAGAAAAAUCACAGAGUAAGGUUCCAAAGGAAGCAUUGAAACUAACUCAGCAAGACCCACGAGAAGAGUUUUCUGGAUCUAGAAACUAAAAUUCAUGCUUUGACUCUGAUGACAACUGAAGGAUUAAUUCUGUGAAUCCAGUGACUCACAGAUCAUAAAAGCUUCUACAGCAGCUAAAGACUCAAAGCUUAACAUCCCAAAUGUCCAUCAACAGAUGACUGGAUAAAGAAGUUGUGGUACAUACAUACAAUGGAACAUUACUCAGCCAUAAAAAAGAAUAAAAUAAUGCCAU